AGGGGUAUAGCUCAGUGGCAGAGCAUAUGCCUAACAUGCACAAGGUCCUGGUUCAAUCCCCAGUACCUCCA
Molecule: transfer RNA, 71 nt
Filed under: Camelus bactrianus (Bactrian camel)
Lineage: Eukaryota; Metazoa; Chordata; Mammalia; Artiodactyla; Camelidae
Also listed under: 2 other names
Rfam family: tRNA
About the family: Transfer RNA (tRNA) molecules are approximately 80 nucleotides in length.
Source: Rfam by way of RNAcentral